CGCUAGCACGUCGGUGCCGCCGCCGGCCUCCAGGCGGGAUUGAGGAGGAGCUCUAAAAAGACGAAGAAAGAUCUUCUCAUUUCCAGGAAUAUCAUUCAAGAUUUAGGAUGCUACGGGGACUUGGGUCACUAAUGAUUGGCUUUUAAAUACUGACAAUAUUCUUCAUAAAUUAAGAGUUUAAGACCAGAAGGGACUAUUGUGUCAUCUAGUCUGACCUCCUAUAUCACAGGUCACCAGACCAUCCAAUACCCACUCACUGCAUCCAACAACCAAAAUAUGAGCAAAGUAUUUUAGCCUAUAGGAAAUGAGAUUAUGUGCCACAGGCAGAGAAUAGGAAGAUCCAAGGUGCAUCAGUGCCUGAGGCUCCCACAGUGACAGAGAAAUGAUUUAGUGAGAUAUACCCAGAUAAUCCUG
This 414-nucleotide long non-coding RNA is filed under the name Gopherus agassizii (Agassiz's desert tortoise). RNAcentral describes it as "lncRNA (ENSGAGG00000011935.1)". Lineage: Eukaryota; Metazoa; Chordata; Testudines; Testudinidae. The record is from RNAcentral.